Molecule: ribosomal RNA, 253 nt
Filed under: uncultured bacterium
Lineage: Bacteria
Description: partial 16S ribosomal RNA
Rfam family: Bacterial small subunit ribosomal RNA
Source: RNAcentral
UACGUAGGGUGCAAGCGUUAUCCGGAAUUAUUGGGCGUAAAGAGCUCGUAGGCGGUUUGUCGCGUCUGCUGUGAAAACCCGAGGCUCAACCUCGGGCCUGCAGUGGGUACGGGCAGACUAGAGUGCGGUAGGGGAGACUGGAAUUCCUGGUGUAGCGGUGAAAUGCGCAGAUAUCAGGAGGAACACCAGUGGCGAAGGCGGCUCACUGGCCCGGUACUGACGCUGAGGUGCGAAAGCGUGGGGAGCAAACAGG